This 430-nucleotide ribosomal RNA is filed under the name uncultured bacterium. Its description in RNAcentral is "bacterial SSU rRNA". It matches the Rfam family "Bacterial small subunit ribosomal RNA", at positions 354 to 796 of the family's 1533-position model. The record is from RNAcentral.
GUGGGGAAUAUUGCACAAUGGGCGCAAGCCUGAUGCAGCAACGCCGCGUGAGGGAUGACGGCCUUCGGGUUGUAAACCUCUUUUAGUAGGGAAGAAGCGUAAGUGACGGUACCUGCAGAAAAAGCACCGGCUAACUACGUGCCAGCAGCCGCGGUAAUACGUAGGGUGCAAGCGUUGUCCGGAAUUAUUGGGCGUAAAGAGCUCGUAGGCGGCUUGUCGCGUCUGCUGUGAAAUCCCGGAGCUCAACUCCGGGCCUGCAGUGGGUACGGGCAGGCUAGAGUGCGGUAGGGGAGAUUGGAAUUCCUGGUGUAGCGGUGGAAUGCGCAGAUAUCAGGAGGAACACCGAUGGCGAAGGCAGAUCUCUGGGCCGUAACUGACGCUGAGGAGCGAAAGCAUGGGGAGCGAACAGGAUUAGAAACCCUAGUAGUCC